RNAcentral lists this ribosomal RNA (269 nucleotides) under uncultured bacterium. Its description in RNAcentral is "partial 16S ribosomal RNA". It matches the Rfam family "Bacterial small subunit ribosomal RNA", at positions 565 to 832 of the family's 1533-position model. The record is from RNAcentral.
GAGCACGUAGGUGGGUUUGUAAGUCAGAUGUGAAAGCCUUCUGUUCAACGGGAGAAUUGCAUCUGAAACUGUGAACCUUGAGUAUAGGAGGGGAGAGUGGAACUUCUGGUGGAGCGGUGAAAUGCGUAGAUAUCAGAAGGAACGCCGGCGGCGAAAGCGACUCUCUAGCCUAUUACUGACACUGAGUGUGCGAAAGCUAGGGGAGCAAACGGGAUUAGAUACCCCGGUAGUCCUAGCCGUAAACGAUGGGCACUAAGUAGAGGGGUUUU